GACGAACGCUGGCGGCGUGCUUAACACAUGCAAGUCGAACGGAAAGGCCCUGCUUUUGUGGGGUGCUCGAGUGGCUAACGGGUGAGUAACACGUGAGUAACCUGCCCUUGACUUUGGGAUAACUUCAGGAAACUGUGGCUAAUACCGGAUAGGAGCUCCUGCUGCAUGGUGGGGGUUGGAAAGUUUCGGCGGUUGGGGAUGGACUCGCGGCUUAUCAGCUUGUUGGUGGGGUAGUGGCUUACCAAGGCUUUGACGGGUAGCCGGCCUGAGAGGGUGACCGGCCACAUUGGGACUGAGAUACGGCCCAGACUCCUAAGGGAGGCAGCAGUGGGGAAUAUUGCACAAUGGGCGGAAGCCUGAUGCAGCAACGCCGCGUGCGGGAUGACGGACUUCGGGUUGUAAACCGCUUUCGCCUGUGACGAAGCGUGAGUGACGGUAAUGGGUAAAGAAGCACAGGCUAGAUACGUG
RNAcentral lists this ribosomal RNA (468 nucleotides) under uncultured bacterium. RNAcentral's name for it is "partial 16S ribosomal RNA". It matches the Rfam family "Bacterial small subunit ribosomal RNA", at positions 28 to 507 of the family's 1533-position model. The record is from RNAcentral.